RNAcentral lists this ribosomal RNA (652 nucleotides) under Arrenurus setiger. Its description in RNAcentral is "partial large subunit ribosomal RNA". Lineage: Eukaryota; Metazoa; Arthropoda; Arachnida; Trombidiformes; Arrenuridae. The record is from RNAcentral.
AGCCCAGCGUGAAGGCCUUAUCACUCCGGUGUUAAGGCGGUGCCACGUUAAUGACUUGUCAUAGUGCUUUGCUGAAGCUUCAUGAAUGCUUUUGAAUAAGCUUCAUUUUAGCCAAAGAGGGUGCAAGCCCCUUGGUGUUGUGGAUGCAAAGCAUGGACUUGUCAUGAUAGAGUCGGGUUGCUUGAGAGUGCAACCUAAAUUAGAUGGUAAGCUCCAUCUAAGGCUAAAUAUCGCUGUGAGACCGAUAGCAAACAAGUACCGUGAGGGAAAGUUGCAAAGAACUUUGAAGAGAGAGUUCAAUAGGACGUGAAACCGUUUGCAGGUAAACAGAUGGACCCACGAAGUCCAGUUGAGCAGAGAAUUCAUAUUUYUCGAAUAGUUCUCUACUGAUUUUACUCCUCUGUAAAGAGGAGUAGGUUGGUUAGAGUUCUGUCGAGAGAUGCAUUUUUUCUGCUCACGCUGGAGCUCUGACUGCUCUUUGAUUUAAGUCGUGUAAGGCAGCUCUAGAUUGUGAGAUAUUUCUCAGGAAAUAUUUCUACUUUCUGGAGUUCAUGAUGAAGUCAAACGAGCGGGUGAAUUACUCACUUUGGUGAGUGUUUAGGUUGUCGAUGUCUCUGCUCAGGUAGAAUGUGCUGGUCUUUGAGUUUUCGGC